UGUCCUCUGCCUAAGCACUCUAGAGCCCAAGGACAAAGCCCUGAUUAGACCACCUUUACAGCCUCAAGGCCCUUCAGGAGCCAUCACACCUCCCUCUCUGGCUGCCCCUCUUGCAGCUCUGCUCCCAGCUCAGGCCGGCGCUCCUUCCAGCGUCCUAAAUUCUGUUCCCUAUGCUUGACUGCCUGUCUGCUCUUCUCCACCCAGGGAAAUCCUGUAAGACCCAGCCCUGUGCUGCCUCCACUGGAAGCCCUCCUCAGAUCUGCCAGAGUGGCCACUGCCACACUCAGGAGCCCCCCCGUGACUCCUGGGCUGGCUGGGGUCAGUUCUGACUCUCUUGCGCAGCGGUGGCCUCCAGCUCCCCUCGGUUUCACAGUGAUUCUAACUGGAGGUCAGUGAUGCUUCGCUUCAAGGCUCCCUCAUCUGGGCCCUCAGAAUGUUCCUACAGAGGAUUGAGUGCCUGGGCCAUCCCUGGCGAGAAUUGCAGUGGUCCGCCUGCCCUCACCAUAGGUCACCAUCAGGGCACUGUGCUGGCCUCCCAUUGAUGAGUGGAUGAAUGAGGUGGAGCAGGGCUCUUUACCUCCAGUUUCCACUAGAUCAACUCCUCCAGGCUACUCAGGUAACAGGGAAUUUCUGACCCAGAAGGUAAGGGAAUUUCUGGAGUUACUGAGAGCCAGGACAAAGAUUUACUGAGAUGCAGCCAUUCUGCACUUCUCCUAGAACCUCACUGGAGGAGAUAUCUAAAGAUUCAGGCCAUUAAAGUAAAGCCAUGAAAAUUGGAUACUAUCUCAGUGUUGAAGAGAACAUGCAAAUGAAAAUCCCAGUGAGAUACCAUUUCACAUCCAUUACCUUGGCAAAAAUCAUGAAGUCUGAUAUUACCAAGUGUAGGCAAGGA
This is a long non-coding RNA of Manis javanica (Malayan pangolin), 892 nucleotides long. RefSeq lists it as uncharacterized. The record is from RefSeq and is a predicted model, not a curated record. Lineage: Eukaryota; Metazoa; Chordata; Mammalia; Pholidota; Manidae.